RNAcentral lists this ribosomal RNA (468 nucleotides) under uncultured bacterium. RNAcentral describes it as "partial 16S ribosomal RNA". It matches the Rfam family "Bacterial small subunit ribosomal RNA", at positions 28 to 507 of the family's 1533-position model. The record is from RNAcentral.
GACGAACGCUGGCGGCGUGCUUAACACAUGCAAGUCGAACGGCAAGGCCCUGCUUUUGUGGGGUGCUCGAGUGGCGAACGGGUGAGUAACACGUGAGUAACCUGACCUUGACUUUGGGAUAACUUCAGGAAACUGGGGCUAAUACCGGAUAGGAGCUCCUGCUGCAUGGUGGGGGUUGGAUAGUUUCGGCGGUUGGGGAUGGACUCGCGGCUUAUCAGCUUGUUGGUGGGGUAGUGGCAUACCCAGGCUUUGACGGGUAGCCGGCCUGAGAGGGUGACCGGCCACAUUGGGACUGAGAUACGGCCCAGACUCCUACGGUGGGCAGCAGUGGGGAAUAUGGCACAAUGGGCGGAAGCCUGAUGCAGCAACGCCGCGUGCGGGAUGACGGCUUUCGGGUUGUAAAACGCUUUCGCCUGUGACGAAGCGUGAGUGACGGUAAUGGGUAAAGAAGCACCGGCUAACUACGUG